AUCAACCGAGAUUCCCCCAGUAGCGGCGAGCGAACGGGGAGCAGCCCAGAGUCUGAAUCAGCUUGUGUGUUAGUGGAACGGUCUGGAAAGUCCGACGGUACAGGGUGAUAGUCCCGUACACCAAAAUGCACAGGCUGUGAACUCGAAGAGUAGGGCGGGACACGUGGUAUCCUGUCUGAAUAUGGGGGGACCAUCCUCCAAGGCUAAAUACUCCUGACUGACCGAUAGUGAACCAGUACCGUGAGGGAAAGGCGAAAAGAACCCCGGCG
This 269-nucleotide ribosomal RNA is filed under the name Klebsiella quasipneumoniae subsp. similipneumoniae. Its description in RNAcentral is "partial 23S ribosomal RNA". It matches the Rfam family "Bacterial large subunit ribosomal RNA", at positions 224 to 531 of the family's 2925-position model. The record is from RNAcentral. Lineage: Bacteria; Pseudomonadati; Pseudomonadota; Gammaproteobacteria; Enterobacterales; Enterobacteriaceae.